ACACGACUCUCGGCAAUGGAUAUCUCGGCUCUCGCAUCGAUGAAGAGCGCAGCGAAAUGCGAUACGUGGUGCGAAUUGCAGAAUCCCGCGAACCAUCGAGUCUUUGAACGCAAGUUGCGCCCGAGGCCAACCGGCCAAGGGCACGUCUGCCUGGGCGUCAA
This 161-nucleotide ribosomal RNA is filed under the name Dendrobium scabrilingue. RNAcentral's name for it is "5.8S ribosomal RNA". It matches the Rfam family "5.8S ribosomal RNA". From Rfam's summary of the family: 5.8S ribosomal RNA (5.8S rRNA) is a component of the large subunit of the eukaryotic ribosome. It is transcribed by RNA polymerase I as part of the 45S precursor that also contains 18S and 28S rRNA. Lineage: Eukaryota; Viridiplantae; Streptophyta; Magnoliopsida; Asparagales; Orchidaceae. RNAcentral also lists the same sequence under 2 other names. The record is from RNAcentral.